Larimichthys crocea (large yellow croaker) is the source of this 427-nucleotide long non-coding RNA. RefSeq lists it as uncharacterized. The transcript is spliced from 3 exons. NCBI's taxonomy places the organism in Eukaryota, Metazoa, Chordata, Actinopteri, Sciaenidae. The record is from RefSeq and is a predicted model, not a curated record.
GUGGGACACAUGACCAGGCUCAUUUGCAUAUGGACAGACAGGUGUGCGUGGGAGAGAAUAGUUUCAGCUAUGCAGCUAGUAGUACGCCGAUACCUGAACUCUGGAUUAUGAGUUUAGUCGGUGAAUCUGAGCAUCUUGCCUUGAACCAGGAGUCACCACAGGUCAACGUCGUUCGACCAGCUCACUUGGACGUUUAAUACCCGUCAGCAGCUGCAACGGCAGGCUCACCUGAGCUGAGAAGGCACCGGUUAAACAGGUGGAACAGGACGUGCUGCAUUCCGCCAGUGCAGAGACACACAUCCUCCUAUGGCAAUAUAAAACUCGGGUGCCCCACUGUCGUUUGUAUCUAACUGAUGCUAUGUUGGCCCAGAUGUAAGAACACAGGCCACACAGACCUGAUCGAUACUCUAAAUUCCUCAGGGAGGUG